AACUCCGUUACACUGGUGGCAAGUGGUGGGAUAGCUUCCUAACCGUGGGAAAACCAGCACUACUGCAGUAUGGAAGACAAGUACUGCCAGGCAGUAUCCGGCUUCCAGCAGUGACUACAGGAUGUACUGCGCAGUGUGGAGUACCCUAUCCCAGAGGAUUGGGUGGCACUUCGAACCGAUCUCUGGAAGGAGGACCUUUACGAAAUUCGACCCUUUCGGAGUGAGGAAAUCCUGACCACCAACCAGCGCCAAGCAGAAAAGCUAGAGCUGCGGAUGCCGUACCUGGGAAACCAGCCCUCAAAGGAAUGGGUAAGCGAACUGGAGACGCUAGUUGAGACUGAGGUGUGGCUGGAUGAUUCCUACCAGGCCAUGCAGUGGCAUGCCUACCACCUCUACCCGGGGCUAAUAGAGUAUUAGUCUAUCCAAGCUGAGCGGGCAGACAAUUGGGACCUUACUGAGAUCGCUGCCAUUCAGCCAGACCUAUCUUUUCUUGCCAACCGGGAGUGGGAACUAGAACAGGAUUAUGUUUGCCUAUUCCAAUGGGUAACGCUGCCUGUGUCUUACAUGAGGGGGCUUAUGGACUGGAUACCAUCGGGAGCGUUGAGUUUUGUCCCUCCUCCACAGAAACUAAG
Molecule: non-coding RNA, 632 nt
Organism: Pelobates cultripes (western spadefoot toad)
Lineage: Eukaryota; Metazoa; Chordata; Amphibia; Anura; Pelobatidae
Source: the annotation of a GenBank genome assembly